CCACUGUACACUACAGAGAUUUCGUGGAAAUCGUGAAAGCUGAAGCCCCACCUGAUAUGAGCUGUCCCUGCAGUCAGCAGGGCCACCCUGACCUAAACCAGGUGUUUGCAGGCUUUGCAAGACAGUGGAACUCUGAUGAUGGAUCCUGAAGCACAAGUUGGAGCCUAGAAAAGGAGGUUGAGAUAUGAAAACAUCAACCAUGGAAAUGCAGUGAUCAGAAUAAAAAGAGUCCAAGGGAGAGGUUCUCUCUAUAUAAGUGAACGCUUCUGUUGUUCCCUGUUGUGGUGUCCAAUAAGCACAGCCACUCGUGGUUUCUCAGGUCCCUCAGAGCACUUAUCCAGUCUCAUUUUAGCUCCUGCCUCAAGGUUUUGUGGACGCAUCUGCAUGAUUUCUACAAAUCCUAUUACACCUUAUACGUGGAGAAAUGAGGACACAGAUGUCUUGGCACAGGAUUUGCACUGAAGAAUCACAGCUCAGUAUUAUUGGUCUUUUCCUUCCUCUCACUGCUGGGCUGCUCAUGUUCAAGAGCCGGAUGGUCACAGGCCUUAUAAGCUUCUUUUCUUAACCUGACUGCCCACGGAAAUGAGGUAUUUGCAACACUGCUUUUCAUCUGGUGGUGAGGUUUGUUUUG
RNAcentral lists this long non-coding RNA (631 nucleotides) under Chloebia gouldiae (Gouldian finch). RNAcentral describes it as "Erythrura gouldiae (Gouldian finch) lncRNA (ENSEGOG00005005295.1)". The record is from RNAcentral. Lineage: Eukaryota; Metazoa; Chordata; Aves; Passeriformes; Passeridae.